Long non-coding RNA from Ictalurus punctatus (channel catfish), 659 nucleotides. Lineage: Eukaryota; Metazoa; Chordata; Actinopteri; Siluriformes; Ictaluridae. The record is from Ensembl.
CCUUUAAUCCCAGCGUCCUAUAAUCCCAGCGUCCUUUAAUCCAGCCGUCCUAUAAUCCCAGCGUCCUAUAAUCCCAGCGUCCUAUAAUCCCAGCGUCCUUUAAUCCCAGCGUCCUAUAAUCCCCAGCGUCCUAUUAAAUCCCAGCGGUCCUUUAAUCCCAGCGUCCUAUAAUCCCAGCGUCCUUUAAUCCCAGACCGCUAUAAUCCCAGCGUCCUAUAAUCCCAGCGUCCUUUAAUCCCAGCGUCCUAUAAUCCCAGCGUCCUAUUAAUCCCAGCGUCCUAUAAUCCCAGCGUCCUAUAAUCCCAGCGUCCUUUAAUCCCAGCGUCCUUUAAUCCCAGCGUCCUUUAAUCCCAGCGUUCCUAUAAUCCCAGCGUCCUUUAAAUCCCAGCGUCCUAUAAUCCCAGCGGUCCUAUAAUCCCAGCGGUCCUAUAAUCCCAGCGGUCCUUUAAUCCCAGCUCCUAUAAUCCAGCGUCCUAUAAUCCCACGGUCCUUUAAUCCCAGCGUCCUAUAAUCCCAGCGUCCUAUAAUCCCAGCGUCCUAUAAUCCCAGCGCCUAUAAUCCCAGCGGUCCUUUAAUCCAGCGUCCUUUAAUCCCAGCGUCCUAUAAUCCCAGCGUCCUAUAAUCCCAGCGGUCCUUUAAUCCCAGCGGUCCUAUAAUCC